Molecule: ribosomal RNA, 511 nt
Filed under: uncultured bacterium
Lineage: Bacteria
Description: bacterial SSU rRNA
Rfam family: Bacterial small subunit ribosomal RNA
Source: RNAcentral
GACGAACGCUGGCGGCGUGGAUUAGGCAUGCAAGUCGAACGGUAUCAUCCUUUCGGGGGUGAGAGAGUGGCGAACUGGUGAGUAACACGUAGGUUAUCUACCCUCAAGACGGGGACAACCCAGGGAAACUUGGGCUAAUACCGGAUGUGAGCAACUUUUAGUUGUUUGAAAGGUGGCGUAAGCUGUCGCUUGGGGAUGAGCCUGCGUCCUAUUAGUUAGUUGGUGAGGUAACGGCUCACCUAGGCAAUGAUAGGUAGGCGGCCUUAACGGGUGGUCGCCCACACUGGGAUUGAGAUACGGCCCAGACUCCUACGGGAGGCAGCAGUCGAGAAUAGUCUACAAUGGUCGGAAGACUGAUAGUGCGACGCCGCGUGCAGGAUGAAGGCCUUCGGGUUGUAAACUGCUUUUGUACGGAACGAAAGGUCUUUUCUAAUAAAGAAGGCUGAUGACGGUACCGUAAGAAUAAGCACCGGCUAACUACGUGCCAGCAGCCGCGGUAAGCUCGUCUCUA